RNAcentral lists this long non-coding RNA (681 nucleotides) under Sus scrofa (pig). RNAcentral's name for it is "lncRNA (ENSSSCG00025046112.1)". The record is from RNAcentral. Lineage: Eukaryota; Metazoa; Chordata; Mammalia; Artiodactyla; Suidae.
UUCGAUGGCAGCGGCAAAAGGGAUCAGCUGAGAUGGUGGAGUAGAAAGACCCAGAGCUCAUAUCCUCUCACAGACACACCAAUAAUACAACUAUUUAUACAAUAGCCAUUGAUGAAAAAGGCUGGAUGCUACUAGAAAAGAUCUUUUACAACUAAAGAUGUUAAAGACGCAUACCCUCAGCCAGAGGCUCACAGGAUCAGCUUUUGACAAUAUCAUUUUUAGGACGUGCGUAACAAUUCAUCAGGUAUUCAGUUUCAAGGAUCUCACUCAGAGCUGGCCCUCUGUGAAUGUUGCUGAUAGGUGCCUGACUGCACAGAGCUGAUGGUGACAAAGGUAAACACCACAUUAAACACACACACACACACACACACACACACACACACACACAGAGCAGACUUUUACUGGAGCCAAAUCUUCCCUAUGGUGGAAUAUACCUGCUGUAUUUCCAUUGAAAAUGCAACAUGUUGGUUGGUGUGAAAACUGAUGUCAGGAAAUGCCCCCAAGAGAACAAAGCAUGUAUUAGGUGAUAAUGGAUGUUAUUACUGGAAGCAACAUUUGUCUCCUCGUUUUUUGUUUUUUUUUUUUUCCUUCCUGACUCUCAUUCAACCAUAGUAAAUUUUAAUAUGUGUGUCAGGUUUCCCGCAAUUUAUAUAAAAUGAAACUCUUUGGAAAAGAUAACAC